RNAcentral lists this ribosomal RNA (484 nucleotides) under uncultured bacterium. Its description in RNAcentral is "partial 16S ribosomal RNA". It matches the Rfam family "Bacterial small subunit ribosomal RNA", at positions 30 to 507 of the family's 1533-position model. The record is from RNAcentral.
AUUGAACGCUGGCGGCAGGCCUAACACAUGCAAGUCGAGCGGAUGAAGGGAGCUUGCUCCUGGAUUCAGCGGCGGACGGGUGAGUAAUGCCUAGGAAUCUGCCUGGUAGUGGGGGAUAACGUCCGGAAACGGGCGCUAAUACCGCAUACGUCCUGAGGGAGCAAGUGGGGGAUCUUCGGACCUCACGCUAUCAGAUGAGCCUAGGUCGGAUUAGCUAGUUGGUGGGGUAAAGGCCUACCAAGGCGACGAUCCGUAACUGGUCUGAGAGGAUGAUCAGUCACACUGGAACGGAGACACGGUCAAGACUCCUAAGGGAGGCAGCAGUGGGGAAUAUUGGACAAUGGGCGAAAGCCUGAUCCAGCCAUGCCGCGUGUGUGAAGAAGGUCUUCGGAUUGUAAAGAACUUUAAGUUGGGAGGAAGGGCAGUAAGUUAAUACCUUGCUGUUUUGACGUUACCAACAGAAUAAGCACCGGCUAACUUCGUG